Onychostruthus taczanowskii (white-rumped snowfinch) is the source of this 878-nucleotide long non-coding RNA. RefSeq lists it as uncharacterized. The transcript has 3 exons. The record is from RefSeq and is a predicted model, not a curated record. Lineage: Eukaryota; Metazoa; Chordata; Aves; Passeriformes; Passeridae.
CCGGUGCCGCUCCCCGGUGCCGCCGGCCUCGACCGGCCCCAGUGCGGGGCGCAUGGAGCGCUCCCCUGGCUCGGCAAACACCUGCCGACGGGCCGCCUCCGCUCCUUCUUCACGCACGGACCUCUUUGCUCAUUGCUGCGGUUCCGCUGUGGCCGAGCGACCAACCGGAUCUUUGUCACUAAUGAAAAAUAAAACACUCCAUGCUGAACCGCUUGCUGCAGGAAGGACCACGGGGAUUUCUGCCAUUAUCUUCCAAAGGCCUGGCUUCUGAUGCACGUUGCUGCUUGCUGUACUGGUUUGGCCUGGGGUAGAAUGAUUAUUCACAGUGUGGGGGUAGCAAGUUCGAUCUUUGAGGGCCCCUUCCAACUCAGCUUAUUCUGUGAUUUGUGCCGAACACAGCAUGGAUAACACAGAGAUGUUUUUGAUAUUGCUGAGCAGGGCUUGCAUUGAGCCAAGGCAUUUGCUGCUUUUUGUACUGCUAUGCUGGUAAGGAUAGUGAGGCUGAAUGAAAGGUUGGGAAGAGACACAGCUGAGACGGGUGUCCCCAAGUGACAAAGGGAUAUUUUUGACCAGAUGGCAUCAUGCUCAGUAUAUAAGGCUUUGGCCUGCAUGCCUUUCAUUUUGAAGUAUAAACCAUAUACGUGCUCUGCUAAUAAAGGAUUAUAAGACCCUGUCAGAAGUUUUCUGAAUUCCAGACAGAUUUUGGGCCUCUGGUUCUAUGUUUCAAGUACGGAGCUACAACCGAUUUGCAGCCAAGCUGCCAGAACCUAAGUCUAUGAGCAGUUUCGGCACUUGAAACUAACAGGUGCUUCCAGCAGGCCGCCGCCGAGGUCCCACAGCCGCGCCGCCGCUGCCCCGGCGGGGCAGACGCAGGGCAG